CUCUCUCUCUCUGGGUAAAGAAAAGACGUCUAAGACUUCUUUGAAUUAUGAGCAUUCCCCCUCUGAGGAUAAAAGGUUUUAUGGGUCAGUCUUUGCCAAAUAUCCAAUAAAUUGGAUAAUUGGAGCUAAUCCAAAAUGUAAGUAGAUGAAUCUCCUUUGGAUAUUCAAAGAUUUAAAGCACUGACUUUGUUAAGAGUUUUUUUAAUACUCCUUGGUUGUAUGCCAAUUUAAACAUUUUUUAUGGUCGGUCUGGUUGACGUUCUGGGUUCCAGGAGUACAAUGAAGAACUACUGCCCAGAAAUACCAGGAGCAGGAUCAUGAUAAUCGUAUGAAGAAAUUAAUAGGCUGAGUCCAAUUAAUGUCCUGAUCUAAUGUUGGAGAGUACAGGAUAUAGAGGGGAUUGAAAACAAUCAAUUUUAUGCACCAACUCAGCAGCAAGAUAACUACCAUCAGCAUGUCUUCAUGCAGAUAAUAAGGAUACAACCAUGGAAAAGAGAGAGAGGAAGAACCUUGAGAGAGGGGGGUGGGUGGGUGGGGGGGUGGAAGUUGGGAGGGGAGAAAGCAGCAGAUUUCUCUGAAAGAAAACAAGAAAGCACAUUACUCUCAAUUACAAAGCACAUUGUCAAACAAGAAAACCCUCAGACUCUAUUCUCUCUAUCUCUAAUUUUAGAAAAAAUUAACUUCAUUUUGCUUUGAUGUUUGCAGUAUCAAAAUGUUAAGAACAUAAAUCAGCAGGUUCUUUUCCGCUUCAAACAUCCCAAUUAAGAAAUUAGUCUAUGCAAUAGAUCCAGCUGAACCUACAAACUGACCUGAAUCAAAGUCCACCAUCCUCUUCUCAGCAGAUAAAAAAUUGUUAGUCUUUUUCAUCAAUUAUUCAAUAUAAAUCAGUUAUGCUGACUGACUCUAAUUAGCUUCUUAUUUACAAGAAAGCAUAUAAUAAAUAUCUUUCCCAGAUAAAGAUAGAAACUGAUUUAAAUAACCACAAAGGAAGUAAACUGUUCGAUGUUAAUACUGAUUUUAAAAAAUCACGAUUCCAGCUGCAAUGCGAAAUUGGAGAUUUCAGACUUAAAAGACCAGCAGACUGGAACAUCUAGAUAUUUUAAUUAGAAAUAAAAAUAUCACCACAUUUUAAAACAAAAAUUAAUGAAGGUAUCCCAGCAGCAUGUGAUACAUGCCAUCUGACCCAAUAAUUCUUCAAACCACAAAAAUCUCGAGAUUUUUAAAUUUCUAUAGAUACUGUACAUGAUGCAUAGAAGUAACCAUACCAAAACCUGAACCUCAAAACAUAACCUCUCUCAACAAUAAUUGACUCAAAAAUCCUGAAUGCAGAUUCUUCAACAAGUUACUCUUCCUUUAAUCUAUUACAACAGAUAAAUAAAUUAAAGGGCUCUACUUAAGUUAGCUGAUUAAAAGAA
Molecule: long non-coding RNA, 1415 nt
Filed under: Phoenix dactylifera (date palm)
Lineage: Eukaryota; Viridiplantae; Streptophyta; Magnoliopsida; Arecales; Arecaceae
Description: long non-coding RNA (PDAC_LNC013255)
Source: RNAcentral